GGGCGUAUGGUCUAGUGGUACGACGUCUCAGUUGCAGAUAAUGUUCAAAGCCUUGAAGCCGUUGGAAGCUCCAAAACAGGUGAGAGGGUUUCGAAUGAUGUAAUGCUCCAUGAGAAGGUCCCAGGUUCGAACCCUGGUACGUCCA
This is a non-coding RNA of Podospora pseudocomata, 145 nucleotides long. Lineage: Eukaryota; Fungi; Ascomycota; Sordariomycetes; Sordariales; Podosporaceae. The record is from the annotation of a RefSeq genome assembly.